Molecule: ribosomal RNA, 491 nt
Filed under: uncultured bacterium
Lineage: Bacteria
Description: partial 16S ribosomal RNA
Rfam family: Bacterial small subunit ribosomal RNA
Source: RNAcentral
AGUGAACGCUGGCGGUAGGCCUAACACAUGCCAGUCGAACGGCAGCACAGUAAGAGCUUGCUCUUACGGGUGGCGAGUGGCGGACGGGUGAGGAAUACAUCGGAAUCUACUUUUUCGUGGGGGAUAACGUAGGGAAACUUACGCUAAUACCGCAUACGACCUACGGGUGAAAGCAGGGGAUCUUCGGACCUUGCGCGAUUGAAUGAGCCGAUGUCGGAUUAGCUAGUUGGCGGGGUAAAGGCCCACCAAGGCGACGAUCCGUAGCUGGUCUGAGAGGAUGAUCAGCCAAAUGGGAACUGAGACACGGUCCAGACCCCCACGGGAGGCAGGAGGGGGGAAUUUUGGAAAAUGGGGGAAAGCCUGAUCCAGCCAAACCGGGGGGGUGAAGAAGGCCUUCGGGUUGUAAAGCCCUUUUUUUGGGAAAAAAAAGCAGCAGGUUAAUACCCCGCUGUUCUGGCGGUACCCAAAGAAAAAGCACCGGCUAACUGCGU